UACCUAUCUGGGGUAGAUGGUGGU
Molecule: non-coding RNA, 24 nt
Filed under: Rattus norvegicus (Norway rat)
Lineage: Eukaryota; Metazoa; Chordata; Mammalia; Rodentia; Muridae
Source: RNAcentral